This 405-nucleotide small RNA is filed under the name Histoplasma capsulatum var. duboisii H88. RNAcentral's name for it is "Histoplasma capsulatum H88 hypothetical RNA". The record is from RNAcentral. Lineage: Eukaryota; Fungi; Ascomycota; Eurotiomycetes; Onygenales; Ajellomycetaceae.
ACCGCCCUUGAAGCACCUGGUUCUUCUCCCCUGAUUCCUCACUGACACCUCCUCGCUCAUUCCACCGAUCUCUCCUCGCCAGUAAUUGACGACAGCGGUAAAGUCGAGAUAUGCGGCUUCAACCGUCAUAAUGCUGUUUCAAUUCAUCCUCCAUAAAAUCUACACUUCUCGAUCUGACUUUGAAACGAAGAAGCCGGUGAGCUGAAUAAGUGCGCGUCAGCGUCACCAGUUUGACAACGGGGCUUUCAAUUAGGCAAGGAUGUCAAGCUACAAUCACUGUAUGUCACCGUACACUGCUGGUCAAUGGCCCUCCUGAUUUUAGUUGUUACCACACGCGGUUAGGGGUAAGAUCUUUGUCAUUGUAGACAUUUAUCAAACUUUACACUCUGAGUAGCAGAGGUGUGG